UCGAGCGGUAGAGAGAAGCUUGCUUCUCUUGAGAGCGGCGGACGGGUGAGUAAUGCCUAGGAAUCUGCCUGGUAGUGGGGGAUAACGUUCGGAAACGGACGCUAAUACCGCAUACGUCCUACGGGAGAAAGCAGGGGACCUUCGGGCCCUGCGCUAUCAGAUGAGCCUAGGUCGGAUUAGCUAGUUGGUGAGGUAAUGGCUCACCAAGGCUACGAUCCGUAACUGGUCUGAGAGGAUGAUCAGUCACACCGGAACUGAGACACGGUCCGGACUCCUACGGGAGGCAGCAGUGGGGAAUAUUGGACAAUGGGGGCAACCCUGAUCCAGCCAUGCCGCGUGUGUGAAGAAGGCCUUUUGGUUGUAAAGCACUUUAAGCAGGGAGGAGAGGCUAAUGGUUAAUACCCAUUAGAUUAGACGUUACCUGCAGAAUAAGCACCGGCUAACUCUGUGCCAGCAGCCGCGGUAAU
Molecule: ribosomal RNA, 467 nt
Filed under: uncultured bacterium
Lineage: Bacteria
Description: bacterial SSU rRNA
Rfam family: Bacterial small subunit ribosomal RNA
Source: RNAcentral